GAUGAACGCUGGCGGCGUGCCUAAUACAUGCAAGUCGAGCGAACAGACGAGGAGCUUGCUCCUAUGACGUUAGAGGCGGAGGGGUGAGUAACACGUGGAUAAAAUAACUAUAAGACAGGGAUAACUUCGGGAAAUCGGAGCUAAUAACGGAAAAUAUAUUGAACUGCAUGGUUCAAUAGUGAAAGACGGUUUUGGUGACACUUAUAGAUGGACACGGGCAUCAUUAGCUAGUUGGUAAGGUAACGGCUUAGCAAGGCAACGAUGCGUAGCCGACCUGAGAGGGUGAUCGCCCACACGGGAACUGAGACUCGUUCCAGACUCCUACGGUAGGCAGCAGUACGGAAUCUUCCGCGAUGGGCGAAAGCCUGACGGUGCAACACCGCGGGAGUGAUGAUGGACUUCUGCUCGUAAAGCGCUGUUAUUAGUAAAGUACAAAUGUUUAAGUAACUGUGCUCGUCUUGACGGUACCUAAUCAAAAAGCCACGGCUAACUACGUG
This 497-nucleotide ribosomal RNA is filed under the name uncultured bacterium. RNAcentral's name for it is "partial 16S ribosomal RNA". It matches the Rfam family "Bacterial small subunit ribosomal RNA", at positions 28 to 507 of the family's 1533-position model. The record is from RNAcentral.